RNAcentral lists this ribosomal RNA (493 nucleotides) under uncultured bacterium. RNAcentral describes it as "bacterial SSU rRNA". It matches the Rfam family "Bacterial small subunit ribosomal RNA", at positions 15 to 518 of the family's 1533-position model. The record is from RNAcentral.
GAUCCUGGCUUAGGAUGAACGCUAGCUACAGGCUUAACACAUGCAAGUCGAGGGGCAGCAUGGGUGUAGCAAUACACCCGAUGGCGACCGGCGCACGGGUGCGUAACACGUAUCCAAUCUACCCAUGGCUCAGGGAUAGCCUUUCGAAAGAAAGAUUAAUACCUGAUGGCUUCAGUGUCCCGCAUGGGAUGUUGAAUAAAGAUUCAUCGGCGAUGGAUGAGGAUGCGUCCGAUUAGCUUGUUGGCGGGGUAACGGCCCACCAAGGCGACGAUCGGUAGGGGUUCUGAGAGGAAGGUCCCCCACACUGGAACUGAGACACGGUCCAGACUCCUACGGGAGGCAGCAGUGGGGAAUAUUGCACAAUGGGGGAAACCCUGAUGCAGCCGACGCCGCGUGAGUGAAGAAGUAUUUCGGUAUGUAAAGCUCUAUCAGCAGGGAAGAAGAUGACGGUACCUGCACAAGAAGCCCCGGCUAACUACGUGCCAGCCGCGGC